Molecule: ribosomal RNA, 432 nt
Filed under: Acanthamoeba sp. Had_5130
Lineage: Eukaryota; Discosea; Longamoebia; Acanthamoebidae
Description: SSU rRNA
Rfam family: Eukaryotic small subunit ribosomal RNA (bases 1-382)
Source: RNAcentral
CCGUGAAAAAAUUAGAGUGUUCAAAGCAGGCAGAUCCAAUUUUCUGCCACCGAAUACAUUAGCAUGGGAUAAUGGAAUAGGACCCUGUCCUCCUAUUUUCAGUUGGUUUUGGCAGCGCGAGGACUAGGGUAAUGAUUAAUAGGGAUAGUUGGGGGCAUUAAUAUUUAAUUGUCAGAGGUGAAAUUCUUGGAUUUAUGAAAGAUUAACUUCUGCGAAAGCAUCUGCCAAGGAUGUUUUCAUUAAUCAAGAACGAAAGUUAGGGGAUCGAAGACGAUCAGAUACCGUCGUAGUCUUAACCAUAAACGAUGCCGACCAGCGAUUAGGAGACGUUGAAUACAAAACACCACCAUCGGUUGCGGUCGUCCUUGGCGUCUCGGUUUCGGCCGGGGCGCGGGGAUGGCUUAGCCCGGUGGCACCGGUGAAUGACUCCCU